GGAGAGGUGCCCGAGUGGCUAAAGGGGGCAGACUGUAAAUCUGUUCGUUACGCCUACGUUGGUUCGAAUCCAACCCUCUCCACCA
RNAcentral lists this transfer RNA (85 nucleotides) under Ralstonia solanacearum CFBP2957. Its description in RNAcentral is "tRNA-Tyr (GTA) (tRNA-Tyr-GTA-1-1)". It matches the Rfam family "tRNA". Rfam says of the family: Transfer RNA (tRNA) molecules are approximately 80 nucleotides in length. The record is from RNAcentral. Lineage: Bacteria; Pseudomonadati; Pseudomonadota; Betaproteobacteria; Burkholderiales; Burkholderiaceae.